Dermacentor andersoni is the source of this 2214-nucleotide long non-coding RNA. RefSeq lists it as uncharacterized. Lineage: Eukaryota; Metazoa; Arthropoda; Arachnida; Ixodida; Ixodidae. The record is from RefSeq and is a predicted model, not a curated record.
AACAAAGUGCGGCGAAUGAAGGAAUAGGAGAGCGCCGGCGGGCCGCUAACGCCGACACAAUGCGUCCGGCAACAGCUCACCGUUCACCGUUCAAGCCGGAGAACAAGCCUUGCCCAACAGCUUCACGUGCUUUCUCGCCUGCCCGCCCCGACGUCAGCAAGCACGCAGCUGCCUGCGGAACUCACUCGUCCAAAGGAGCACGCAGUGGAACGGCGCAAGCUGGCGUUCCAAGCGGAGUAUAUGGAAUCUGCAUCUGUCAGACGCGCGAAGAACAAAGUGCCCUGAAGAAAUUCGCCCCCAAAUUUCACUCAAAUUUGCGCACCUCAAGAAAUCGCUGGAGCUGCCGCCCUUUAAAUGACGAGAUGAACUCAUCAGCGUCACGUGUUUAUGAAUCGAGGCAACAGCGUGAAAACGUGCAAAUCACGUCGCUGUGGCGGCCGCAUUUACGCUUGCGAUGACUAGCCCCUCAUUAUACUUGAAAUGUCGUGGCAUAAGGAAACGUAACGGGGCUGGUUAUUCACGGCAGCUUGCCUUCAAAGGUGCCGUGAAUGAUGCCGUGUAUGAGAGUGGCUCGGUGAAAAUAUCGUAUACACUCUUGCUACCUUUAUGAGUGCGAUCUUAACAAGCCAGUUGGACCACAUUCCGGGCGAAGAAGGCACAGUAGCGCUAUAUACUUUAACAAAGCAAGCAGCACCUUGUAAUGAGGCGCAAGCUCGCGACGGCAAUAAAAGAGGCUGUGCCGACUCGCACUCUGAAUGCGUGGGGAGGCGCUGCCGCAUGAAAUUAGGCACGCGCUCCUGAGUGCGUGCAAGACAAUGGUCGGUACUCGGGCGGACGGCUUGCUUAUACGUGUCGCCGCAAGUCCUUUGGCGCGUUCGUACACUGUGCGGCGUUGCUCCUGCGUUCUGCUGUGCAGUACGCGCUCGGCGAUCCUAGCGUGCAUGUAUGCGUGAGGCAAGACGAAUGCCUUUGUCCUGCGCUCGCGCCUGCGUCUCGGGCCCUGCGGCGAGCGCGUCGAUGGCUUUUCCGAGAACUGCGCGCGCGCGUUCAAGCGAGAACAUGCGAGCGCGCGCGCCCCCCAGUUCUGCCGCUAACGAAGUGCCAGACGGAAAAGAAAAGCACUCGUAGCCCACGCUUCGUUGACAUCAUGCCUCACAACGCAACCAGCGCGGCGCUGCUGUCUCGCUGAUCUGCAGGUCACCCGUUGAAACGAAGAGCACGCAAUGCAGUCUCUCAGUAACUGUCAGCUUUACCGGAGCAUGACGAUGGCAGCUUUAAGACGGCGACAACGGCACGACAACUACACUCUGUUGGCUGAUACCUAAGACAGCUAAAAGUUGUUUUUGGAGGAGAAGCACUGAAAAUUGCUGUCGCGCUGAAAGCCCCUAACGAAAGCCUGCUAACGACAGUGCUUCACUUGACCUUGGAUUGGCUUAGUUUAAUGGCAUUAUCGACAUUACAAAUGGGACUUCGCGUAAUUCUCUCCAUCGGUCGCUUGGUCAGUCAUCACAAGAUGCCACUGAGCAUAAAACAUGUGCUUGUUGCGAGCCAGGUGCUGUAAUCACCGCAUCACGGCAGUUUCAUUGAAGGGCCGAAAUAGUGGGAGCGUGUUAUGCAACUCAACCCACAUGCGCUUAGGCAGUCACAGACGCCAAUUUGCACGUGCUUCGCGGCAGGCUAGCCUGCCAUUGCAAGCACUGCGAAUUUUUUAGCGAUAAGGGAAAAGCCGGCUUUUUAUCUGUAGCCAGGUUUCUCGUUCGAUGACUAAGUCUGAAGCAGUUGUCAGAGGCAAUGUCAGUGAAUAAGCACUCUCUACACAGCGUAAUAUGGUGUAAGCGCAUCACAAGUGAAAAAUGCGCUGUGAACGACUCACGUAAAUGCAUUUAUCAGAGGUAACGUGGGUUUUCCUGAGCUAUAUCUACAUUACAUCUCGUUCGCUCUCAACAACGAGCAUUUUUUAGCAGUAUAUGUCUCUGUGAAUUGCACUACAACCUUGAAAAUCAGUUAUUUGACUGCCUCUACACCCAUUGUUAUCUACAUAUAUCUCUUAGCUUCCACCAGAACACCUCCACCCCAUGCCCUGGUGGCUCCUUGUGCAGCACAUUCAGCCCGUUCGGCAAAUUUUCCUGCCCCAAAGCAACACCUGAUGUGCUACCAGCAAGGACGGCUCGGACGAUGAGCCAUUUGGACAAUAAAGUUCAUAUUUCCCUCUUU